AGCAAUGGUCUCUUAUGGAAAUCAGUCUUUCCCAGGUGAUCUCCCGUUCGGUCCUGCUAUUUCUUAUCUCCUCUAUGCACUAGGAGUUCCAGUGCACGGGACUUUUCUGGUUGAAUCUCCGCUUCAUAAUCUUCGGCCUAGUCAUGUUCUCCGGGAGGUUGGGUGGGAGCACCUACAGCCUGGCUCUGGCUCAGGGGGAGAAGCUC
RNAcentral lists this long non-coding RNA (206 nucleotides) under Linum usitatissimum (flax). RNAcentral's name for it is "long non-coding RNA (LUSI_LNC000072)". The record is from RNAcentral. Lineage: Eukaryota; Viridiplantae; Streptophyta; Magnoliopsida; Malpighiales; Linaceae.